Molecule: long non-coding RNA, 1603 nt
Filed under: Homo sapiens (human)
Lineage: Eukaryota; Metazoa; Chordata; Mammalia; Primates; Hominidae
Description: HSALNT0341355
Source: RNAcentral
CUGAUCUGAAGUGAUCUGCCCACCUCGGCUUCCCAAAGUGCUGGGAUUACAGGCGUGAGCCACUGCGCCUGGCCCCUUCAGGUGGGUAUUGAGGCUUCACUACAAUACUAGUUCCCCGUUGCUGCCGCAAUAAAUUACCACACACUUAGUGGCUUAAAACAGCACAGAGGUAUUCCUUUACAUUUCUGAAGGCCAGAAUUCUAAAGUCAGUCCCACUGAGUCAACGUGGGAGCAGGGUCAGUGCCUUCCCAGGCUCUGCGGGAGAAUCUGUUUCCUGGCCCUGGAGGCGGCCUGUACUCCUCAGCUUGUGCUGCCCUUCUCGAAUGACUCGCGUUUCCUGCUUUCAUCACUACACCUCCCACCGCUCUCCAUCACCUGCUCUGCUCUUAUAAGGAUCCAGUUUUCAGAAAAAUGGAAUAGUCGUAUCACUGAUCUACGUAAACAAGUUGAAGAAUUGUCUGAAAGAAAAUACAGUGUGUCUAAACUGGAAAAGUCCUGUAAUAGUUUGUUCAUGAGCAUUUACACAAUGGAGUUGCUGUUUCAUCAUGGGGGUACUGUGGACAAACCCAGGGCUGCUGACAUGAACUUAUGAAUUCAACACAUGAAGAUUUACAGCUUGACAAACCAGCUUCAGGAGGGAUUGUGCUGCAUUCGAACAUAGGUUCUGCCAUCAAACACAGAAUGCCCUGAUCCUUAGAGGCAGAGGCAGCUCUUCAGCCUAUGGGGGAGGCAGACCAGUUUUACAAAUAGCUGCUGGCCUGGAGAAUAACAGUUUCUACCAAGAAUCCUGACUACUCUGUGUCUGAUGACUGGAACUUACCGAGCGCUGCUUAGUUGCAUCAUAGACACCACCUGUCUUUGAACAGCUACCCUGCCUCUUGAUGAGAAUGCAAAGGCUGCCAGGGGCCACUGCUGUAUGGAGUGGAUUUCGGUCAUUUCUGCUUAGAGCACAGAGCUCAAGCUGUUGGACUCGCCGAGGCAGUAAAAGUACCAUAUCCUGUGUUUGAAUCAAACUCCAAUUUCCUGUAUAUAGAAGGCUUGCCAGACAGGAUUCCCUUCCGAAGCCCUACCUGGUUUGGAAUUCCAUGACUUGAAAGGAUCCUUCGUGGGAGUAAUAAAAUCAAGUUUGUUGUUAAAAACUUUGCAGUCCCCAAAAAAACCAUGAAGCCCUGAGAGUAAUGAAAAGCUUCCUGACAUUGAGGUCACUGUGGAAGAACCACCUAAGCUAAAGAUUCUUUUGAGAACAAGGGCUAGCCUGUGGUUUCAUGGCCUUUCUUCCAUUUGGGGUUCUUGCCAAGUGGAAUUUAAAUGACCUCUUAUCAAGAUGGAUAAACCCAAGUUUCCCAGUGCUGGAAUACAGAAAAUGGAUGGACAAGAUGUCUUUUUGUCACUUCCAGCUGGAUCUACCAUGAAAGACGUCAGAGUCCAGGAAGAGAGACUGACUGGGCAACAUGUUAUUCAGAAUUAGAGAAGAUGAUGUGGUGAUGGAAGAAGAGGUCAGAGAGGGAGAUUUGAAGAUGUUGCAGUUCUGGCCUUCAAGAUGGAGUCAGGGGCUAUCUUCAAGAGAGAAGAUCUUGAUCUGUGGCCCAGGCUGCAGUACAGU